UUCUCCUGAAGGUGCACGGAAAGACGGUUUCGGCUGUCACCGCAGGAUGGGCCCGCGGCGCAUUAGCUAGUUGGUGGGUAAUGGCCCACCAAGGCGACGAUGCGUAGCCGACCUGAGAGGGUGAUCGGCCACACUGGGACUGAGACACGGCCCAGACUCCUACGGGAGGCAGCAGUAGGGAAUCUUCCGCAAUGGACGCAAGUCUGACGGAGCAACGCCGCGUGAGUGACGAAGGUUUUCGGAUCGUAAAACUCUGUUGGAGGGAAGAACAAGUACCAAGUAACUACUGGUACC
RNAcentral lists this ribosomal RNA (294 nucleotides) under uncultured bacterium. Its description in RNAcentral is "partial 16S ribosomal RNA". It matches the Rfam family "Bacterial small subunit ribosomal RNA", at positions 185 to 479 of the family's 1533-position model. The record is from RNAcentral.